AGGGGGUCUCCUUUUUUGGGU
This 21-nucleotide unclassified non-coding RNA is filed under the name Chlamydomonas reinhardtii. RNAcentral's name for it is "small RNA Cre_0580". The record is from RNAcentral. Lineage: Eukaryota; Viridiplantae; Chlorophyta; Chlorophyceae; Chlamydomonadales; Chlamydomonadaceae.